AACAUCCCUGGAGACAUUUUGAUGUCAGUAGAAGUCUCUCACAUUCAGAAAGGAUCUCUGUUUGCUGAAGACCAGCAAAUGCGAGGUGAUUUGAAAGAACCCAGCAAUCUAGAGGAAUUAAGACAUUCAUUCCAAACAGCUAUGGACAAACUAGUGAAAGAUAUUGAGCUUACAUUACAGGAAACCCAGAAUAAUGAUAACAACAGGCACAAGAAGCAGCAACAAGUAAAGAUGGUAUGUGGAAAAUAGAGUUCUUCCAGAUGUAAAACUACAAUGAAUUGUGGAGGGUGUAGAUCAGCCAGAAAAUUAUCUGCAAAAGAGUAUGAGGAUCAUGAGAAAUCUGAGUUUCUUCUGAGAGAAAAAGAACUCCAGUAGCUCAGAUUUUUGUGCAUUAUAUCAAAUUCACAAGUUGUGAGAUCUUUCUACUUGGUUAAAAAGGUUGUAGUGUUUGAUUUAGGCCAGGAAGACUCUAAUUUAAUAUUUUUUGAAAAUUCUGUAAAUGUUCAAAUCAGAAAACUUUGAUAGGGGGGAUUUUUUCAUGUUUUGUUGCACAAUAUUCAAUGUAAGAUUUCUUUUCAAAAUUGAUUGAUUAAAUUUAGAAAUGAUGGAAAUUAGAGAAAUGAAGGUUAUUAGAGAACUAGUGAAUCAUUACAUGAAAGUAUGAAUAAUCGCUUGAACAAAUACUCAGGUAGACUUAGAUGAAUCUAUUCCAUCUGCAUCUCUAUCAGACUGAAAAUGAAUUUAACAACUCUCCAAUUUGUAGCAGGGUGGCAUGAGAGACAUACCAACAUCAUAUUUCAUCUCAGACAAUACAACUGAGAACAUGGAUGCUAAGAGUCAUAUGGCACACUUGGAUGUGAUGGGAAGAACAAGUUCUUUGCAGUCUGAAGUAUCCACCAAUGUGGAAGAACAGAAAGAGCUUUGCUGCAUGCAGGUCACUGCUGCUGACAUUGAACUUCAGAGGAUGUGGUGCAAUUUUGUGCUGGCUGAACAGAAAUAUGAAUAUGAGGAUAGUGACAAAAAUAGGCUUCAUAAAGAGAGAAUGGCACGGAUUCAUCAACAGUUUAGCCAAGGACUCCAAGACCGGCUCCUGCCUCCAAACCAAAAUGUUUUGUUUUUCUUAUACUGCUUCACCAUUAUGUUUAUUAUUUACAUAGUAAAAGACCUAGUCUUUUACUUUUUCCAAAACCAUCACCAGUUCUCUUUUGCUAUUGUGAUCUUUUUCAUUCUCAAAGGGAUUUUCCAGGAUUAA
Molecule: long non-coding RNA, 1252 nt
Filed under: Phasianus colchicus (ring-necked pheasant)
Lineage: Eukaryota; Metazoa; Chordata; Aves; Galliformes; Phasianidae
Description: lncRNA (ENSPCLG00000001357.1)
Source: RNAcentral